UGACAACAGUCUAUUUAAGAAGCAGGAGGCAGGAGAGUCCAGAGGACUGGUCAGAAUGAUCCAGUGUAAGCAAGAUUGGACCCUUUCAUUGCCAGCUUAGAAGACAGAGAAAGGGAGCCGUGAGCCAAGGAAAGUGGGUGACCUCCAGAAGGUGGAAAAGGUAAAGAAACCAAGACCCCAAGAAGAUAAAGAUCUUGCCUAAGGACUUAAGGCGGGUGAUAAAAUACAAAAUCCAAAUGGAAACAAUGCAGGUUGUACCACAAGAGCAGAACCGUAAAAGGUGGAGAAAUGAGGGUAGAAACGGCAAUACCAUCAGGAUAAUGUUAUUGUGACUGAUCCUAGCUAUGAAUUCCUGCCCGGGUUCUUCAUAAAGAGAACACCAUGCAACGUACAAGCAAAAACAUCCUACAGAUUCCAGACAAGAACCUGAUCCAAAACCCAGAUCUCCUGACUUUCUACCAUGCUGUGUAGAGAUGCUGGCUCCCCAUUCUUCCCGGCACGAGUGAACUGUAGAUUCCCUAUGACAUCUUCAUUUUCUUCUACCCUUCAGUGGGCUGGAAGGCCAAGUCUCUCUGAUUAUAACUCAAGUGGACCCCAGGGGAGCCAGAGCUGGAGCAGGCCCACCAUCCCCACCUCUGGGUGAACAGUCCAAAGCACUGCAUCCCUCCUGGCACCAUCCUCCAUCUGCAAGUUCUCCUAUAGUUUCUUGGGGAGACGUCAGCCCCAACCCCUCAGCAGCACCGAAUCCCUCUUCCAAUAUGGGUCGGCACUGAUAUUUCACGGCUGACCGUGAGGAAAUAAGUUGGCCAAAGACCACACUGGCAUGGAGUGAGAAUUCCAGGGAGAGCAGAGAGGAUAAGCUAGUCCUGAAGGCCUCCCCACGUGGGCAUCCAGGCUGGAGGCUCAGGCCAACAAAGCUUUCCUGGGAAUCCCUCCCACACCAGGCCGAAAGGCGACUGAAGGCACAGUCUCUUGGGCCCCCUUCCAAAAGACUAACAGCCCGAUGCCACACCUACACCACCCCCAGAAGCCCAGCUGGGAGGGACAGAGGGAGGCAGAGAGGAAGGAAGACAGUGUGUCAAACAUCAGAGAAGUUUCAGGAAGCAAAGAGCCUAAUCAUGUCCUUAAUUAAAGUGCAGCUCCUGAAAAGUCUCCUCUGAAAUUGGACCAGCUCAAUUACCGUCUUGUCCUGACAACCCCCCUCCACCUUUCCUGGACCUCUUGCUCUAUAGCCUCUCAAAAGUCCAGCCUUCUCCAAAGUGAGAGCCCAUGGAGGCAUCUGCUGAAGACAAAGGAAAAACUGGCAUCUUGACUUGAAAACACUUGAAAGUCUCAGCCUGUGCACCAAAUACACAAAUUCUGGACCCCCACCUCCAUUCCCUACUGUGGUUGCUUCCUCUGUGGAGAUCGGCAACUCUGAGCAUCACUAGGAAGAGAGCGGGGCCACACUGGGGACAGCUGUGCCUGUAGAGACCUUGACAACUGACUUCAAUGCCCAACUUCCACGGGAGGUGAAGUGUUUGCCAAAAUGCACCCGGCUAGCUCUCCACUAGUCUUACGAGGGGGAAGCCAGCUCUGUGGGUAAUCUCACAGAGUAUUUACAUCUGCUCUUAGAAUAAAGGAUAAACUCUGAUCUUCUAAAAAUCGUUGCUUGCUUGUGCAGCAUUUGAUUUAUACCUUUAAUCAUGUUUUACUUCAUAUACUUAAUCAUGUUUUACUGACUUGCUGUGGGUCUUCUCAAGGCACAGCAACUGGAUGGGAGGCAGAGUGUCUGGGUGGGGCCCCAGCAUUGGGGUGUCCAGGCCCGGACGUGAACGCUCAUAGAGGAGACCCAGGAGUUCACUCCAUUGGGCUAAUGCCCAAGAACAAGUAAAAUGCCACAAGCAAGCAAAGGUGUUUCGUUUUAAGAGGCAAGUUCAUAUAGAGUCUUGACUUUUUGACUCAGCCCAGGACAGCCUUUGGGGACAGAGGUGCAGUAAGGUCCGUGGACUGAGACAGUGCUGUGGGUAUUUUCACCCUGGUUCUCAGCCCAGGGUCCUAUAGUUGGUUGAGCCAUCAAUGCCUGCAAGAGACAGGGGCAGAGUCCACAGGUCCCAGGGGCUGGGAGCAGGGAAGCCCAGGCUAUUGGGUUGUCUGUGUGGACCUGCUUUGAAAGGGCAGAGAUGGGUAUUAAUAGGGGGUCAGCUGUCCCCGGUCCUUCCCACUAUGCAUCCCAGUUUGUGGUGGGAAGUAGGUGAGUAGGGAGAAACCCUAUGCGAUUCUCAGUCUUAAUCAGAGACCUGUUUGACAACGGUGCCUCGUCUUUUUGCUUUAAACCUCAGGGUUACUUCUCUGAAACACCUGCAUAAAAAUUAAGUCAUACAUGAAGAGUAUGACUAAUUAUACACGUGUAAUAUAUAACCAUAUCUAAAUGUAUAGUGUAAACAAAAUGACAUGUUUGUAGAAUUAUAAAAU
This is a long non-coding RNA of Neofelis nebulosa (Clouded leopard), 2454 nucleotides long. RefSeq lists it as uncharacterized. The record is from RefSeq and is a predicted model, not a curated record. The transcript has 3 exons. Lineage: Eukaryota; Metazoa; Chordata; Mammalia; Carnivora; Felidae.